This 4321-nucleotide long non-coding RNA is filed under the name Aquilegia coerulea. RNAcentral's name for it is "long non-coding RNA (ACOE_LNC001794)". Lineage: Eukaryota; Viridiplantae; Streptophyta; Magnoliopsida; Ranunculales; Ranunculaceae. The record is from RNAcentral.
CUCAAACACCAAAGUUACAUGAAUCAUUCUUGUGGUUCAAACAAUUAACUCUCUCUCUCUCUCUCUCUCUCUCUCUCUCUCUCUCUCUCUCUCUCUCUCUCUCUCUCUCUCUCUCUCUCUCUCUCUCUCUCUUUUAAAUUCACAACUUUGUCUCCCAAUAUUGUCUAUUAUUUAAACACAUGUCUCUCACCGCUGACACUCUCAAACAAAUCACUCUUUUAAACACUUAUCUAUUCUCUUCAAAUAUUAUCAUAGCUAUAAUAGGUGUUGCACCACCAUAUUUAUAAAAUCGUUUGGUAGCUUAACCAAAGUUGCAAAAAUAUUUUAAUUUGCGUUCCAGGACAGUAGAUGGUUGUGGUGUUGGCCGUCCCAUGGCAGUUGGUCCAACAUUUCAUUGCAAUUGCUUAUUCCAUAGAGAACAAAUUGACAGAAGUUUAAAUGAAACCAUAUAAAUCAACUCGUUCUACCUACAAAAAUAAGUUAACAUUCUUUAGUUGUCUCAUUAUAUAAUAAUAUAAACAUAAUAAUUUUGCAAUAUGAAAAUCAUGAAACCACAUCGGAUCAGUUUUCUAUUGUUGUUUGGUUGAUACAUUCCAGAAAAAAUACUCAUGGAAUAAGAAUAUACCAAUAGUGAUCUAUUAAAAGAAAUCUAUGUAUUUCAGAUCAAGUGGAAUAGGAGAAAAGUAAUCUACCAAUAACUAAGUUUAAUCAACAAAAAGAUUAACAUAAUAUAAUGAUCUCUAGUCAAUUUACAAUGAAAUAAACCUUGUCAACUACAUGCUCGUUGUUAUUAGAUUGAUUGGUGUUGGGUGCAUUAAUAGUGGAAGUCUUUCAACAUGAACAUUCUUAAAUCAAAACUCUUGUAUUCAAAAGGUAGUAAGAUAUCACAUAUUCUAUCUCAAGUCUCAACUGCAGUAACUGAUAAUUUAGCUCCUAAGAAGUGAAACCUCAAAUGGCUUCUAAAAAUCCCAAUCUAAUCUUUUGGACAUAAAUGUUUUCGAUUCCAACUUUCCUAGUAAACUUUCUAGGUAAGGUUUAGACUACAUUACUAACUUUUUUAGCUACACAUGUGACCUACAAUCUAUCUGAUAAGCUAGUAUGAUUUUCAAAAGACCAGUGGUACAACUUACCAAAAUAUGUUACUUAAAUAUUUUUUGGUGUUUUCAGUUAGUCGAUAAUAGUUAGAACAUAUAUGCCAACAAUCACUAUUUGACUAUUUCAUCCUACUAAUUUCUAAUACUACUUGUAAAACAUAUAUACACUAAUGUGUAUCCAUUUAUUAUGAUAUUAGGAAAUAAUAGGAAUCUUAGUCCAGAUUGUUAACUCAAUCUAUACUCAGUCAACAAAAUAAUAUUCAGGCAACAAAAUUGUGGAAAUAAAUCACUCGUUUAUAAAAAUCAAUCACGACAUAUUUCUGAAAAAAUGAGAAAGUAAAAAAGAGAAUCCUUUAUUCAGUCAAGCAAGCUACAUGCUUCAUUAUAGAUAAUGAUGACAAAAUAUGUUUUAUAAUAUAUAUUUUUUUUUAUCAAAUAAGAGUAUUUCCUUGACUAAAUGUAAUAUAAAAACAAUACCAUGCACAAUACAUCUCAUGUUUUCUAAAACAGAGAAUCUAUAUCAGCAAAAGUAGGGUAGUUCAAGUAUAAUAUGAAUUUCUAGGUUUUGCCUCCCUCCUAUUCUCGCGGUAGAAGAUGGCUUCAUGUUUUAAGGUUACGGAACAAAUCUACUCCCUAUCAUAUCCGUCAUAGAAAUAACUUAAACAACUUCUUAUCUUAAAACUAUGUCUAUAUACUCAAGAAACUUCUAAGGUAUUCAAGUUCCACAUCUCAACUAUUAUCUCUUUUUAGAAACCCACUAUGCAGAAAUAUCUUCACUUGGAUCACUCACAUACAAUCUACCACUCCGACAGAUGGAUCAUUACACCUAUAAAUUUAUGGUUUGUCAAAAAGCUUAUAAUAUAUCAUAUAUGCAUUAAAUCCAUGUUUAUUACUACGUCAUGCACUCAUCAUUUGAUAAUUAAAGAAUAUCAUUUUUAAGAAACAAUCAAUAGAAUGAUCCACUUUAAGAAAAUUAUGUAUUGUACUGCUUGAGCUCGGAUGGAAUGUCUAGUCCUCAGAAUAUCGGUCGUUAGUGUUACCCAUAAACCUGAACAUAAGUUUGCUCAUUGCUCAGAUGAAAUGAUCCACUUUGAGUUGGUAAGUCCAAGUUCCAUCUUCUAUUACUGACAUUCUUUGUUGUGCAAAAAUCUUUUGUGUACAUUAUCAUUCAUUUGUUUGAAUUUAAAAUCUAUUAUAGAACCAUUCAAUUUGUAGUUAAUUGAUAGACCAUGUACCUGCUAUGUUGGUUAUAGUAGGUGAAUCAUAAAUGCUGGCAAACUGACUAUAAAAGGUGAAACAGUGAGCCACUUGAUCAUGAGAGAGAAGACGAUUCAAAUCCUACAGCACAAAACUGUUACAUUAGAUCAUACUAAAUUUCUUAUAAAAUCAUCUAAUUACACACCCAUAAAAAUGUAUACUAAAAUUUUAACACAAGGAACGCGAUAAGAGGGAGAAAUCCGAAUUUCAACAGGGAAAGAGUAAUGAAUUCUAUAAGAUUCGUUUGCCCAUAUAUUUCUGCACCAUGUAAAUCUCUCUGCACAGACAGUGGUUUCAAGAUUAGCUUGGGAUUGAGAUUCUUGUAUCUUGAACGUAUGAUCUUUGUUUUUACUCAACUAAUCACAUAAAAUUUACAAAUUUCAGUUUGGUACGUACAUUAAACUACAUUGACCUGGGUUUCAAUAUGUUGAUUCUUUUACGACUCUACCAUUAGCCAUUGCAAAGUGAAAAUUAACCCCCCCCCCCCCACCCCCCAACCCUCUCUCUCUUUCCCUUUUUCUUUGACCUGUGAGAAGGACUGGCAAACUCAAAACUUUGAUAGCCUACAUACAAUGGUAAUGGUAUUGGUAAUGGUAAACAGGUAGCGAGAAAACUGAAGUACAUUUAAUUGUUCAUGUUUUGGCAUUGUUAUGUUAAAUAAUUGUCAAGUGGGAAUGUCAAGACUCCAAUUACCUAUAUGCUACUUGUAAUGCUGGUGGAUUCCAGAAACUAAUGUAUAAUUUGCGGAUUCUUCCUUCGUGAGUCAAGAGGUUAGAUCAAUACUUCGUUUCAUCCCUGUCAUUUGAUCAUCUUACUCAAUCGCUAUGUGAAAUAAUUAUCAAUUGACAUUGUCAAGACUCCAAUUAUAUGUAUGGUAUCUGGAAUGCUGGUGUAUGUUGAAAAGGAGGAUGAAGAGAGAGCCACGAUGGAGAGGAGGUCGUAAAAUUCUGAAGGCAGAAGAAGAAGAUGAGGGAACAGACUACCAAUUCAAAAGUCACUUUUUACGUGUUUUCAAGACCACAAUUAAGUUGGAGUCCCUUUCACUUCAUCAAACAUUGUGACAUUAGCAUCGUAAACUUUCAGUGGUCCAAUCAACCAAUCUGGUUCUAAAUAGAGUCAGGUUUGAGUUCUCGUAGGCCAUUGUCUUUAAAAGCCAUAGUUAACUUUUUCUAAGAUUGUAUUAAGCUUCAUUUCCCUUAAUAUCAAAAAUUUAAGAGCCAUUGUUUUUUAUACAUAUUUGAUUCAAUAUAUAGAUAUUGAAUCAAAUAAAUAUCUCAACUAUAAUCAUCCAUUAUUAUCUCUAAUCUAUGAAUUUGGAAUAGUAUUUAUAAUUAUCCAUCGUUUUAUUAACUUAGGAUAGUAUGUUAUGGUUACUUUUAUUUCUCUUAAGACCAAAACAACAUUGUUGUUUAGCUUUAUCCUUUAUGUCCAUAUGAUUUGAACCUUAGUACAUUAUAAUAAGUCCAAAAUUAUAAUACAAUUUGGCAAAUAAAAAAACCAUAUCGAGUUAAGAAAUCAAGUAAGGACACAGUAUUUAUAAACAAAAAUGUAAACCUAACGAUAAGAUUUUUCUAAACAAAGUGUAAACUAAGAGCUCAAAACAGAAUAAGUAUAUGUUACCUAACACGUAUAGUAUUCCUUUUUUAAAUUAGAAUGUUGGUUGUAACUGCUUACAUCCAUUUUUAGAUAAUUUGAAUGACACUGCGGCAAGCCAAACAAAAAGCUAAAGCUCAAUCUUUUGUUACCUAAAUGCAGCAUAAUAAUGUCAAGCUAGUGAGUGCAAUAUUAAAAGAAAUGAUUGAAUAAAAAUGGAUCUAUAGACACACUGAUAGAAAGAGUUAUCUUAAAACAUGGGAGAGAGAGAAAGCAUACCUUCAAGGCUUCAAUAAAACUGAAAUCUGAAAGGUUUGCAGAACUCUUUUCCUCUUUUAUACUGUAUUCAUCUCACUCUUAUAUUACAUCCUUAUCCU